CUACGUGCCAGCAGCCGCGGUAAUACGGAAGGUCCAGGCGUUAUCCGGAUUUAUUGGGUUUAAAGGGAGUGUAGGCGGUUUGUUAAGCGUGUUGUGAAAUUUAGGUGCUCAACAUUUAACUUGCAGCGCGAACUGUCAGACUUGAGUACACGCAACGUAUGCGGAAUUCAUGGUGUAGCGGUGAAAUGCUUAGAUAUCAUGAAGAACUCCGAUUGCGAAGGCAGCAUACGGGAGUGUAACUGACGCUUAAGCUCGAAGGUGCGGGUAUCGAACAGGAUUAGAUACCCUGGUAGUCCGCACAGUAAACGAUGGAUGCCCGCUGUUGGUACCUGGUAUCAGCGGCUAAGCGAAAGCAUUAAGCAUCCCACCUGGGGAGUACGCCGGCAACGGUGAAACUCAAAGGAAUUGACGGGGGCCCGCACAAGCGGAGGAACAUGUGGUUUAAUUCGAUGAUACGCGAGGAACCUUACCCGGGCUUGAA
RNAcentral lists this ribosomal RNA (481 nucleotides) under uncultured bacterium. RNAcentral's name for it is "bacterial SSU rRNA". It matches the Rfam family "Bacterial small subunit ribosomal RNA", at positions 501 to 985 of the family's 1533-position model. The record is from RNAcentral.